Molecule: long non-coding RNA, 388 nt
Filed under: Sinocyclocheilus rhinocerous
Lineage: Eukaryota; Metazoa; Chordata; Actinopteri; Cypriniformes; Cyprinidae
Description: lncRNA (ENSSRHG00000020462.1)
Source: RNAcentral
CGGAUGCUUCACCUGUCUGAUCAUCUCUGAAAAGGUAAAUCUGUUCUGGUUGAGUUAAGUUUCAAACAAUUAAAAAAGCAAACACACAAUACGUUCUCUUUACCCCAGUUAACGGAUGUAACAGUUUCCUAAAAUAUGGAGACUAAACACAGUGCGAGAAAGUUUCUUUGAUUGAACAAAUCAUAUGAAUAUUUAAUGAGGCGGAUUACGUCAUCGCUGCCCACCGUAAUAGAAGAGCCCUGUGAUGCCAUACCAAGAGGUUUGCCUUCCCUGGAAGUCUCCGCUCUGGUCUCGGGUUUAGGGGUCUCGUCCAAAACGCACACCACACCGCGACUCCCUGCUCAACCCCUUUGGCCAUCCCAGCUCAUUUGUCCUCCGUGCUCCUCUU